RNAcentral lists this long non-coding RNA (17929 nucleotides) under Xyrichtys novacula (pearly razorfish). Lineage: Eukaryota; Metazoa; Chordata; Actinopteri; Labriformes; Labridae. The record is from RNAcentral.
ACACAGAAACAGAAAGGAAACAGAAAAACAGCAGUCAGAUCCCUGAGACAGAUGUCCACUUCAUAACUACUCCAUCAUUCUGAGAACUUACUGGCUCUGCUGUUCGUACAGAGAGCCAUCAGUUUGAUCUGGUAGAGGCUAAAUUUUACUAAUGUGUUUAAAUACUGUGCUAUUUUAUUCACAUCUUUGUUUGACGGAGGAUUGGUAAUAUUUUAUUCACAUGCUUAAAUUUGACAAAAAUAUGACAAACGAUGAUGCAGUGUCCUUGUAUUGAAAGACAGAAGGGACGGCAGACCUGUUUGAUGUUGUCUAGGUAAAAGGAUUUGUUGCUCAUUGUCACAUCAUCAAUGAUCAGAACAUAACCUCUGCGUUGGAUUUCUCAUUACUUCAUCUUCCAAGAGCCUUUCUGAACGUGUGUGUGUGUGAGAGAGAGAGAGAGAGAGAGACCUAGUUUAUGAGGGAGGAGGCUGACACAGAGAACAUCACCAACAAAGCAGAACAGUAUGGGAUGGUGUUUCACGCUGAAAAAAAGGAAGCUCUGUUUUCUCUUUUCACACCCUUAAAACACUUCAGCAACACUUAGUGCUGCUGAUUAGUUUUAAUGUGGUGAUAUCACCUUGUGACCUGGAACAUGACUGAAAGACACUGUAGUAGAAUUUAGACUUUCAACUCUACCUGCAAUAUCCAAAAAAAGAAAAAAAAGUUUGCUUGAUGACUUUCAUGGACUUGAAUUUCACAGAAACAAAGCUGCUCCAGGCUGAGUCCCAAAAUGUAAUUUAUGUCUUCUGUUUGAACAUCAUACAUGGACACUUUGCAUGGCAGGAUUUAUAGCCAACAGUGGCGUUUGUACCCACUGUGAACACGUCUCCAGUUUCAUGUAUUUAUAGCAGGAAUAUACAGGCAGUCAUGUCACAAAUGUGACUCUGUUUUUAUGAGAUGUUGUCCUGCGUGGAGCUCAAAGAGACACAUUCAACGUUGCAGAGCUGGUGUUUGUGAGGAGUCUCAUCGAUUGUCCUCUCUUUGGGGAAAUUACAUAAAUCUAUCUUAUUACAGAGAGAGAAAUGAUGCUGCAGAAAUGGACACUCACAUCGUGUUUGUGGGUGAAGAUUUGGGUGGAUCCGCAGAAGCUCUGCUGGUCACCAAAACACAGUAGUCCUAUAGUGAACAUUCACAGCAGCAGAGCAAAAACAAAGACGUAGAAAGUUAUGGGAAUAACAGGGUUAUGUAACUCACAGUAAAAGAGGGGGGCAGGCUGCUGCUCAUACACUAGAACAAGGUUAAAACACUCCCGACCAGCAGCUGAGGGUUGUAAAAGCCAGAGUCAGGGUCAGAGGUGAUGGGCUGCUGUUCUAAAUCCAUAAAGUAACAGUCUCCCUGGUCAUCAUUCACACCAGGAUCUCACAAGACUGGCAGCCAUGAGGGGGAAAUAAAGUGGGGCAGGUAAAAGCUGCAAGGACUUCAGCAACAACACCUUAGUCUGAAGAGAAAGAGGAGGUGUGAUGGGGAGAUGAAAAGCUUAACUUAACAUCUGUGUAAACCUGUUUAUUUAAAGAGAAACACCAUGAUGAAAUCUAUCAAGUUAUUGCAGUAAUUUUAAAAUACUUGAAAAGAGAUUGCAUUAGUAGGGGAUAAUACAUCAUGAACAAGUAUGUAUGGAAACCAAGUCAUUCUAGUGAUGGGAAGAACAGUUCCUUCGACUGUACUGAAUCUUUAGAAUCCGUUCAUUAAAAGGAUUCGAUCAAAAGAUUUGUUCACUGAAUCAGUCAGUGCUUCGGAGCCCCGCGCUUCACAGCCGUGAGUUCGUUCAUUGAUCGAGACCCUCCCCUCUCCCCUGCUUCUGAAGUCACAGCGUCGUUCACUGGGUGACACAUGUCAUUUAUUUGCCAAGUCCUGAGGGAAGAAUCACUCCCCUGCCCUGAAAAACUCACAUCUUUGUGUAUCGCUGUCUGCGAAAACAACAGAGCAGCAAGCAGCACGCUCGCUAAACAAACAAGAGUCGUCGUUCUUUUAUAUCGCAGGAAAGUGGAGUGAUUAAAAUAAGUAAACAUCGAAGCUGUAGCUGGGAUUCUGCUACGCUUAAAGAUAUCAAAUAGCGUAUUGCUUUAAAUCGGCUGAAGUUAAAUAUUUCUUGCAGGAAAGUUUAUUCACGUGUAUUAAUAUAAAGGCACUAUAAUGCGCUGUUUUAUCUCAGUCUCAGUGAAUAAAGCGGUGUUCAGCAGUAAGUGAACGACACUACACCCCCUCCCUCCUCUGCCUGCAUCAAGUCAUUUGGAAGUAGUUCAUUUCAUUCACUGUGUCGUUCACUGACUGACUGAAUCAUUCCGUUCACUGACUGAUACAUAUCGUUCAUUCGCUGUGAGUGAAUCACGAGUCUCCGCCCGCUCGCUGACUGGCUGUGUGUCGUUCGCCAGAGUCAGAGUCGGCCGUGAAUGAAUCAGAUCUCUGAGUUAUUCAGUUCAUACCGUUCACUCAGCAGUUCUGUCCUUUUGAACGAAACGUUCAUGAACAACGCAACACUAAGUCAUUCAUGUUUGGUGAAAAAUACAGACUAAAAGACCCACUGUGAUGAAAGUUAUGUUUUUCUUGUUGUCUAUAGGUUCAUAUGAUACUUUUAUGUUGCUAGAAGACAUACAAUGAGAAAACUAAGUGCAAAAUUGCAUCUCUGAGUAUUUUUGUAUUCAAAUUGCUGUGAACCUCUAGCAGACCCAAAUGUCAGGUUCAGACGCUGUAGGAUUUUCUACAAACCUAUGCUCCACCCCCCCGGCUCCCCUCUCUGCUGGCCAGACCCCAAGAAGUAGAGAGGAUGAUGGCCGAAGAGGCGUGUGCAGUAGCGGACUGCAAUUCUUGUAAGAAAGCUAAUUAUGAUAUAGGCUUUGAUCAUAUCCCCAAAGACAUUCAUGUGAGAGCUGCUCCUUCAACUACACCGGCAAUCAGGGGACAAUCCUUUUGCACUGCAGACGCGGUUGUUCUUCUGCCUUAGCGUCUCGGUCUGAUUGCAUUUCCAUGAACUAAUAAUCAUAAAUGUUCUUCCUUGAGCUGCAAAACCCCGAUUCUCUCUUUCUCCUGAGUCUCACCCUCCUUCAGCACACUGUCAGAUAAAGUAAUAAAAAUACUUGUCUUGCUGUCUCAUAAGCGGAAAGCACAUGAGCCUGAAACAAAACCUCUUAAAUUGUAAUUAUAUCAUCAUCAUCAUCAUCAUCACCCUCUCUGCCUGGACCACAUUCUCUCCCGUGAGGCCCAACAGGACAGCAGUAUUUUCUAAUGGGCAAAGCUUUGCUUUCCCAGGUUGCUGGGUGUCUUUAAAUGCCCCUGCAGAUGAAUCAAUCAGAGGGAAGAAAAGAGCUCUUUUUCCUCAAAGUUCACUCCAGGACUCGGACCGUCAUGUUAAUGAUGUUUGUGUAUUUCUCUCCAGGCCCCAGCCUGACUCUGUAAAGGAAGCCACAGGUCAAAGGGAGAUGGAAAGGCAUUAGUGAAAGCGAGUGUGAAGACCGUCUCUGGAUCGCACUUAAUUUUAAUGGGAAACAAAUUACACAGACAGCUCGAAUGAAACGGAAAUGCCACAUAAAGCUGAACAUGACUUGGUUUGCUAACUUGUAAUUGGUUUUGGGGGAAUGUAAACAUGAAGUUUAUGAGUGAUUUCAUCUGUGUGUGUCCAAAUGUGUGAGGGUUUGUGUGCGGAAAGAAAUAUUUGUAGGAUCAGAGUCAAGUCCAGAUAUUAAUGUUCAAAUACUGCAAUAUUUAGUGGAAAUUAAACCAAGAGGGAACAGUGAUACACACCAUUAAAUCCUUCUGUGAUGCCCUGAGAGAACGCUUGGAAUAGGAAUUUGUUUUCCUCUGGGAGGUUUUUGCUUGGCUUGUUAUUUGUAGCAGGGAAUUAAAACUGUGCCUGUGAGGUUUGCCUCUCCCGUAAGACAUUAGGCAGACACAUGUUGUGGUUCUGAGGCAAUAAAAGAGAAGCAGGGGAGAGAAAAUGAAGCAAAAUCCCAAAUGUCUUGUGCAAAAUUGUUCCUUUUUAUAACUGAUGUGCAAAUAACUUUGAAUGCAACACUAUUUUUAAACUGUGUGCAGCAAUAGGUUGCACACCAGUGUCUAAAUAAGACAUUUGUAGACACAAAUAUGCACAGCACACCAUAAAUGCCCAGAGUGAAGUCUGUUACGUGCAGUUGCGCAUGUGUUUGUAUGUGGGCAGCUGUAUCUGGGUGCUCACAGUUUGACAAAUGGGGCCUGAAAUUAGGUGGUGAUAUAAAUAAAUGUCCUAUCGUUGCAGUUUAAUCCAGAGCACAUCUUACAGUCUGUAUGCUGAGUGGGCUGUUUAUUUGCUGCUUAACAAACAAUAAUGUACAGGUACAAGCCAGAUUGUUGGGUAAACAUAAACCAGGGUUACAAAUCUGAGUUUACAGAGUUUUAUCAUUGCUACAUUACAGUUAAACAAAUCUGAACCUCACUUCUCUGCACUCUGUGAAAAGAAGAAAAGCUGUCUUCAAAAGAAUUUCUGUACUCCACUAAUUUUGUUCCACUUUGGUGAGAGCCAUAUGUUAUCAACAGAAGGUGAGGGUGCUCGUGGGAAAUGCAGUCUUCAUUUGGAAUUCACCACAGAUUUGAUCCAAAGGGGUUAACAGAAUAAGCACAUCAUGGAUGAUCUUCACAACACUUUCAAAGGAAGAUUCUAGUUGGCCAGAUCAGCUUGGUUUGUUAUUCCACGAGGUGUUUACAACAUUUAGUUGUGAAUGAGACUAGCAGGACACUGCCAAAGGCAUCGGGAACUGUCAACCAGAAAAUUGGUGCUGUGGGAACCAACACAUGGGCAUCGGUCAAGAGGACGUCCUACACUAUCAUACUUGGACAUACUCAAGAAGGAUGCAGGAGCUCAGAGUACCAACGGACUGGUGAGAUGUAUGGAGAAUCGGGGUGACUGGAAGCGACGAUGGAAGGCUCGCCUGAGGACGACCCAGAGAGAGAGAGAGAGAGAGAGAGAGAGAGAGAGAGAGACAGCCACCAUUAACAACAAUAAGACAGGGUUGUCAAUGGAAACGCUGAUGGCACGCUCCAUUUUGCCCACUCGCAUUACACUUUCAACAUGGGAACAUUUAACUGCCAUAUGCAAAUCGAACAACAGUAACAAUGGCUGACACAUUAUUCAUUCAUUAUCAUGAGAAAACGAUCUUUGUUAUGUUGAGAUAAUGAGAUAAAUCAUUAUCACGAGAUAACAGUAAUAGAAAAAAAUCCAUGGCUGUUUUCGUUUUCUGCAUUUAUGUGAAAUAGAAGCCCCCUCUGUAUUUUUUCAGGGUCUUGCUUAUCCUGUUGGGAUUUCAAUCUGCAUAAUUAGCUGCUUACUCUGCAGUUUCCCCUCUAUAUUAACAAAAUGCUCACUUACAUGAAUGUUUCACAUGACAAGCAGGACAUUUUGAGCUGACAGGCUGAGUCUGUGAAGCUGAUGUGAGAGUUAAAGUGUGGCAGUAAAAUACUGUUAACUUAAAGUCUGAGUACAGCGGAUAUGUUUUUGGACAUUGACAUAUUUCUAAAGAAAUAAAACAGCAAGGUCGUGUUGCUAUUUUUCCAUCGACCACACCGUGUUCUGCACUCAGUCACCAAAAGCUCUUGUCGCUCUUACCACACGCUGAGUUAAUUGAUCUGGGAGUUGUUCUUCGUCACUGAGAACUCUGCAGGCUGGAGCCUGGUCUAUUUCUGUCGUUUUUCUAUGAUGUCCAACAAAAUAUUUUGAUGUUUAGAUUUUCCAGCUAUGCGUGAUUGAUUGCUCAACAGUCAACUGAGGGUAAAAAUGGACAUUGGUCCACACUUCCUCAGAAUAUGUAUACGAUAUAUGCAUAUAGACAGAGCUGCGGCUUUCCCCAACAUGUACCUUGCAGUUGCAUAUUGGGUUUCAUUGCACAGAUGCCCACUCGGGGAAACAGAUGGAGGUUUGUCAUACAAACUGAAAGAUCUACCAAAUGUUUGUUUGAGCUGCAGCAGUGGAUCAUCUCUGCUACCUCUGCUAUCAAACCCAGCAGGGCCGUCUUCCAUCAGACAGGGCUCUCUGUACCAGCAGAGAACCACUCUCCUGUUCCCCCGCCUUUAUUCAUCCAGUCUGCCUGUGACCGGAGACAGCUCACCUAAUGUAACCCGUGAAGCUGAUGAAUCGCUGCUUUAAAAAGUACAACUAAAGUGGGUUUGUGCUUUUUAAGUGUGCGGUGACGCUGCAUGAGGGACAGACAGGCUGGCUUGUCAGAGUCUGGUGGGUAGGAAACAGUGUGUGUUCUGUAUGGUGUACUGUGGGACAGUGUGUGUGUUUCACCAUGGAAACCUGAAGUAUGAUGUCAGGUCUGUGGGUGAAAGGCUGGUUUUACUGCAUGAUUGACAAGGCUGCAUGUGUCUGUACCAGGUCGGUAAUGGAUGGUAAACAUAGAUGCAUUUUGAUACACAGACAGCAUUCAUUUACAUUAACCUGUCACUUCACUUAUGCACACGUACAAAAAGGUUUUUGAUGGUGUGAGAGAGAAAUGAACAUUUUUCCAAGGCCAGAGAGAAGAGUUAUAAAAAACAGCUGUAUACAUUUUCGUAGUGAUUCUUCUGAAUUAAAUGAUGUGUGAGUCAGUCUUCUCUUUAUAUUCAUUUUUUUGUGUCUAUAAACUCAUGAUGUAGCAGGAGGCCUGGUGUCCUUCCUUCAAAAGAUUUGAAAUCAUCGCUGUAUGAAACACCACUUCCUGUCAUAACUCACUGCUGCUCGUACAUCAUUUUAAUGUGUGUCUGAGGUCAGUCCAGCUCUAUCACAUAAUACUGUGUUUCCUGUCAGUGGUCUGAGAUCUGUCAGAGACAUGCUGGCUAAACUUCACUUUCACAUCUCCUUAAUCCGGGAGUUUGGAUCAGAACAGCCUGAAUGUUUGGGUUACAUUUGACACGGGCAUCAUGAUGUGCCGCCUGAGCUGCUUGUUUGCUUGUAUGUGUUCUCUGUUUGCAUGUGGGUAAUUCCUGGUUUUUAACAUUGUUUAUUCAUCUUAUUUAUAAAUUGGUACUUUUGUGGAUUUAGUUGAGCAUGUGCAGCAAACUGUUGUGCUGUUGUCCUGUAUUUGGCUCUUAGUUUCUUGAAUAUAAAAUAUUAACUGUCAGUGGUGGUGAUAGUUUGCUGUGGAACUAUUAAAUAUCAAAGUACCCUGCUCGUGCAGCUUCAUUGUCUGUGAAACAGAUCUUCAUAAUCCAAACUGAACCAACCCUAAUGCAAAAGAACUUUUUUUUCUUUGACUCAAGGGAGAAACUUUCUCUGUGCAUGAGGGAAACACCAGUUUAUAGCUUUUUAAGGCAUAUAUCAAAUGUGUAGGCCUGAAAAUGUGUGUAAGAUUAUGGAAGCGCCUUUUUCCUAAAUUUUGAGAAGUUCACUGUUUGCAUGGGUCCCUCAGAAGGUGGAAAAGGAGGAGUAAAAAACUUUGUACUGGCAAAAGAGAGUUUAGGCAGUUUCAGUUUUUUUUUUAUAUAAAUAUAUUUUUAAUCGAUCCGGUUAUGUUGCUAAAAACUGCAGUACUUAUGCAGUAUUUAAGUGUCCACUUUUAAGACUGUCUCCAAAGGCCCCAGAGACCCUGUUAGCAACCAUGUUAUAAUGCCUGUCUUUAGAGUCUAAAUUAACAUGUUUAAAGCCGAGGACUAAAAUUGUUUUUGGUCAGAAGAAAACUCUUCUCUCUUUUUUUUGUAAACACUGUGCAACAAUGUGAUUUUUUUUUACAACUUGUUUAUUUUGAGGAUAUUGGGGUCACAAGUUUUGUAUAGUUCAGCAUAAUUACAGACCCGGCUGACUUGACUGACAGAUAGGCAUGCUGUAGCCGUUAGCAUCGAGGCUAAAGGCCCUCCUCAAUGCUCCCUCUAUGUCUCUUGCAGACUCAACAAAAAGUUACAUUGAGUAUAUUUCUUCAAUCUGGAGACCGCCAUCAUUGGGCUUGAAAACACCAUCACAGAAACCAGUGAUAGGGACGUCACUGAGACUACUGUGUUUUCAACAGUUUACAGUGUUGCAUCAUCUACAACAUCGUCCCUAACCCUCUUGUUAUGGUGAAUUUUACCCCAAAUCUUCAUGAGUUCACUCGGACUCUGACUUUUUUUUUUUUGGAUGGUCAAAGUGAAAUUCGGUCAGUCAUACAGAUGAAGAUUAAUAGUUUUGGUUGUGUGUCUAAAAACCUGAUGAACUUUUAAGGGAUGAAGAGGGGAUAUGAGCAAGUUAGAUAUGAGGUUAACAGAUGAUUCUUCAAACAGGCACUCAACCAUCCACUCUGAGGGCUGUGGACUCUAUAAUGACAGUGGCAAAUGUCAUUGUUAGUCAGUUAGUAUUCACACCUAAAAUUACUAUUAGAAAUUAAUAAAAUUAGUAUUCAGAACCUAAAAUUGUUGUUAUCAAAGGAGUAUUUGGUGAUCACAAACAGAACGCUGCUGCUUUGGAGUCUCACAGUAACCCACAGUGGUUUCAACUGAAUAUGAAAUCAUUGCAUUACAUAACUUGAUAUUGCCGUCCCGUGUGCGAACUUUGCUUGUUUGAGAAUGUUACUUUUCCUUCGAUCUGAUUCACUGAGCCAACGUUGAAUGUGUUUGCUCUGUUCAUGAUAAUGGCCAGUGCAUUCUUGCUACAUUUGGAGCUUUAUGUGAGUGUUUAAAACAGCCAGUGCUCAGAUGUCAGCAGACCUCAAGCUGAGGCAGAGCCAGAGCCUUCUGUUCAUUUCAAUCAAGGCUGUAAUCACUCACAAGCAGCAGUGCAGAACAAUGAAAUCCACAAUUACAACCUGGCCUGGAAGAAGUUCACCAGGCUCCAAGAUCCUGGACUUUAUCACUGACUUUUUGUUCAUCCAAGUCCUUUUGUUCAUACAAAGGGUUUUUUUUAAGAUGCACACACACACACAUCUGCUCACAUCUGUGGUGUGUUAGCAUCAUCCCACAGAUGUUUGCACAUAAACUUCUCUGCUCUCUUCCUUAUUGGUCUAUCAUGGUAACUUAAAUAUCCUCAGAGUCUCACAAAAAUUGUACUGCUGCUCCUUCUACUUGUUGCCUAUCUCUACAUUUUCAUUUCUGUCUUUACUUUUCUGUAUGUUGGAUCUGUUCGCAUGACUUCUUGUUUUCCCCAGAGGCCAGGAGACAAACAGUUUUGACUAAUGGAAGCAGAGUUUAAAUCAUGUACGACUACUUUUAGGCAUUUUCGCCUUGUUAGCUUUUGGCUUCACAGUCCAGAAAAGCCCCCCUCCUCUUUUAUAAGCAGAAACAGCAGCUUACAUCCCAGAAACUGUGGGAAACUGCCUUGGUAAAGGCAUGCUACAUAAGGUCAAAGUGCAAACAGCCAUACCACCAAAGGAAUAAGCAGACCCGUCAACAUGUUUUUGUUUGUUUGCCUCAGGGUACAAGUGCUUUUCGGGAUCAAUAUCUCAACUGAAUGGCCAGGGGAGAAAAAUUAGAACACACAAGGUGCUAAGUGGAGGAGGUACCAACCAAAUUGAAGAAAACAGGCAUAAAGAAACCACAAACUUCAACACAGUGUGGACUUAGUAGUUUUCUGGGUUAAGACUUUACAAUUAUGAGAAAGAAUCUUAGACAGCUGCUGCUGUUCUGCAUUGAUAACUUUUUGAGACAUGACAAAUGAGACUACAAACAACUGAAUUUCCCUUCUGGGAUGAUUGAUUCGUUACAGUAAAACAUUUGCUAUUGCUAUUAAUUGGAGUCAACUGUGAAUGAAAAUAGUCAGCUAAAUGUGAACUUGACUCGCGGUCUGAUACGGCAGACUGUCAAAAGUGAGGGACAAUUUUUAAGCACUUUUCGUUUCUCUUCAGCCGCUAUUUCCUAACAACAUGAAUCCUCCAGAAAUGAAGUUUUUUAUGCUGCUGAAAGUCUGAGUACAACAGUACGCUAUAGUCUAACGUUACAAAGAACAGAAUCUUGGAUCUUAAAUGAGUCACCUGGACAAAGCCCAACGUCCAACUAUCAAAGACAAAUCCUGUGUUCAUCUUUUAUGUGUCAAACCAAAACUGAUAAAUCUUGAUAAAACUGGCACGGUUUUGUUUGAACCACAUUACUUAUAUAUCUAGACAUAACACUUAAACAGAUACAAGCAACAACACCUCAGACUUGAUAAGGAACGCAGACAUGUAACCCACAGCAGAGCCAGGUUCUUAACCUGCUCAGAUAUGCAAAAUAGGGAGCUGUGGUAGCAGAAGCCUGCUCAGUAUUCACAUCCACAUGAUGCGGCAUACCUUUAGCACAUGGCAGUCUGUACUGAGGUGCCAUAAAUCCACUGGGUCGCUUUCAUCUGAGAGCGGGGCUAAAUUGACAACAAAUGUUGUCCCUCUUUUCCGCAGCCUCCUUGAGUUUCUGACAAAGUGUUUCCAGAAACUCUGCAAAAAGCGUCACGUCCUGAGGGCUCAUAUUAAUGUUAAGAGAUGUUAAAUAAGCUCAUGUCUGUUUGUAUGAAAAUACAGCACAGCAACAAACAUUCAACUGACUCACAUCUUGCACAACAGUCUGUGUCUCUUUUGGUAAUUGGAUGUAAUGUUUGGAAACAGAUCUCACAAAUAGAAAAACGACUGGUUUGUAUAACCCCAGUCCCAUGUAGCUCGUGAAUACUGACUGAGAAAUGAAAAGGGUGUUGUCACUUAAACCUGUUUUAUACUGAACCAAAAGGUUUUACCUUCAUAAUUACAACACAGGCUUUAGUUCAGCCAAGAAGCAUUAUUCAUUACAAGGUUAUGAAUUAGAUUUUCAAAUGAGUUAACUUGUUCACUGUCGACCUUUAAGCAUGCGCUGAUAACAGGAUUCAAAACUCUCAUAUUAUACUCUGGCAAGUUUGAUCUACAACUGAUCUCUGACGAACCUUAAUAGAAAAUGUAAAAUAAAUUAAAACAGCCCGGGAAACUCGAAAACUCACACCGGGCUAAAAUAAAAGACGUCACAGGCCCAGUCGAUGCUUGUGAGCAACAAACAGCUGCUUCACCGGCUUUAACCAGCGAAAACAAAAAGGCACGUGCAAAGUGUUAAUUGUUCUCACAAAUCCACACAAUCAGAGAUGAAGAUGGGGAAAUACGGGAGCAUGCAGCAAUGCGUGGCGGUAAACCACAUUCAAGUACAGCAGCUACAGUCUCUCUUCCACAGUCCAGGGCUCUCCCGGUUCUCACUCUCUCUCUCUUACGGCAAAUGUCUGUUCCUAAAUCACACAAUUACUCUUCAUAAAUAAGGUACAGGCUUAUUAUUUCAACGUCAAUGCAGACUAAACAGUGUGAAAGCCUACGACAAGGCUAAGCUAAAGGCUAGCGGAUAGACUGCAUAUGUAUAUGAAUUUACCACUGGCAGCCUCUCAAGUUCACACACAUCAGGACGACUCUCUGUCAGUCUUGGAAGUUCGGAGUGUUUUCACGUUACUUUUACAGAUUACAGCUAUUCUGCUCAGAUGCCGAUAAAGCAGACUCUGCUGUCGCUAACGUUAAACCGCUAAACACUAAGCACCUCCUACUUAAACAAGGUAAGGACAGGAUUGACUAAAGAUACAUACAUGCAAAGAUGAGAGAGUAAAGAGAUGUUCUUUUGUGCCGACAACCGAAUAUGAAUGGAUUUUAAAACUAACACCAACCUUUAAACUGUAGAGGAAAUGACUGUUUUUUUAAACAUUUUAUAAUCUAACAUUUUUAACAUAUAUACACUUCAUGAACUAUUAUUUAUUACCAACACAAACAUUUUAAUAUCUGUACAUGAAUGAAUAAAAAUAAUAGCCACAGGGCUAUAUUUGUUUUAAAACAGAAAGACUAACAAUGAAAUACAGCUUGAUUUUCUUUUCUUCUGCCUGGAAUGAGUAAGGAAAAGUUGAAUAAUGGUUUUAUUUUUGAUUUUGAUUUCUAAAAGGAAAAAUGGAAUGUAUGUAGCAGAAAACACAAAUCGUAAAAUGUUUCCAAACGUUAUGUCUAAUUACCAAACCACAGCGAACUUUAUUCUAUCCGAACACGACUCCAGUUUUCAUUUUCUGUGGAUGAAUUUAGAUCCACAAACAGACUAGUGAUACUUUUCAGCUCAAUAAUAAACACAAGCUAAGAGUGUGGUGGAGUUCUGGGUCAGGAACAGGCCCCAGGUGAGUUGGAGGAACAUCUACGGUUAAAUGUGGAGCUUGGAAAGUGAGGUCGGUUUCAUAGGCCCUGCCAAGCAAAUAAACAGUCUGAAGACAUCACAGCGGCAAGACUGGAUUCAGUGCAUUUUUCAGUCCAGCCUCAGGUCCAAAAACUACUUUAAGCAAAGCCUGAGUCCACAGACAUGUGGACUGAAAUCCUCCAGCAGCUGACCGCAGUCCAACUGUGUUAUUUAAGGCUUUGUAAACUCACAGCUUCCAACCGGGCACGAGGUACACUGUCUAUUAAGCUAUUUUUGUUCUGUGUCGACACUGACUCAGGACAGGUCUUUCGGAUAACUUGAUUGAUGAUACUGCAUUUAAAUAGCAUUAAACAGCACACCAGUGCUCAGUAGACUGAGAUAUAAUUCAGCACUCUGUCCUGAUUCACAGACCUACAAGUGGAGGUAAAAAGUAUGUGGGACAAAGGUGUCGUGAGGGAUUUGAGUUUAAGGAUUAAUCAAUCAAGUUUAAAGAUCUGAUUCUCUACAACCUCAACUUCAAAAAAGUCGAGACGCUGUUAAAAAUGUUCAUAAAAACAGAAUUUAAUGUUUUGCAAAUCAUUUAGACCCUUUAUUUGGUGAAAAAUAGAGCAAAGUAACUCAUCAAAUACUGAAACUAGAAGAACAUUGAGUUAAAUGACCUUCUCUUUUAACACCAAAUGUCUGAAACCAAGAAGAUCAGUUUAAAAGUGAAAUGUCCCAUUCUUCUCUGAAUGAACAGUUCAGGUUCUCUUUAUUGUAGUCUCUGGUUUUUCAUACAGCAAAUGUUUUCAGUCAGGACUGCAGGCAGGCUAGUGAAUGCCAGGACUCUUAUUACAGAGCCAUGCUGUUGUAAUCGCUGCAGAAUGUGGUUUGUUAUCAUCCUGCUGAUGAUAUGAAGGUCUUCCCUGAAAAAGUUGUUUUCUGGAUGGCAGCUUAUGUCGCUGUUUUUACUGCUUUAACAGUUGUGUGGCCUUUCCAGUAGAAGCUACCAAUGCCACGAGGACGAAUGCAUCUCUAUACCAUCAGGGGUGCUUACUUUGAAACUGUGCUCUGAUAGCAAACCAGAUGGCACCAAAACGAAAGUCAAAUUUUGAUCAGUCAGACCACAGGACAGUUUUCUACCGCACUUCAAUUAAUCUUAAAUGGAAAGUUAGGAAAGCUAUCAUUGUCUGGAAAUCUAAAGAUGCAGCAACAAACCGUCGUCACGUAUCAAUUUUUUUUCAAGUGUUGAAGGAAUAUUUUUCUAAAUCUGUUGAACUCCCAGUCUUUAAAAAAGGUGUGAGCCUUGUUCCUGUCUUUACUUCAGCCUCUUUAAAAUGUCAUUUAUAUACCCAGGUAAUGUGAACGUAUACUUUAACUUGCAUAGAACAGUGACAAAUAAAUACUGGGUAUAAAUUAUAUUCAAUUAAAGAUUGUUUAUAGAACAGAUGUCAUCUGCCUCCUCCCUGGGUGAAGCCUCAGAGUGAACAGCACCCUCUGGUGACGGGCUGCAGUAUAGAUCAUAAAUCCCGCCUCCUCCAGCAAUCUUAAUGAAGCUGUGGACAAACUUAAGAAAUUAAUGAAACAGAAAAUAAAUUUUUCUCCCCAUUGGUUGUGAUGUUGACAUGUAGUUAUUGUAAGACUGGUUUGUGUUCAAGUCCUCUUUUUUCUCUACAGCUCCAUUUUUAAAAGUUAUUAGGGGGUUCAUGUUUUCUGUGACUGACACUUGAUACAGCCUAUAGGGUUACAAAGAUUACAGUUCACCCGGGGGAUAUGCUGUUUGAGCCGAGCAUCAUCACAGUGACUCUCCCGCUAAAUGUGUACAACGCUACUACUCAAGUGGUGGUUCCAGGAAAUGGAGAAAAUCCCAGAGAUACUGAGAGCAAUUGGACUUCAAAUUUGUAUAAUGACAGAAGGCGGAGCCAAGUUGUCCAUAGUUAUAUACAGUCUAUGUAUUCAACCUAUUAAAAUGUGUUUUUAUUAACAGUUUAUCCAUUUUUUUUUGUAAUCUGGGUUGUACUAUUUGACAUUAUAUGACCUAGCUUGGAGUUGAAGGUGUUAAACUAAUCUCAUAGUGUAGAGAGUAAAUGAUCUUGGACUUUGGAGUUUAGCUAAAGCAUAUUAAUGUUACACAACACAGACACACUCACAAAGUUAAAUUUAGAAAACCCCAGGCUGUAUUGCUGCCAAAGCCUGUAGAUAUACUAAGGUAUAUACUGAUAAACGCAAACUCUAAUAUUCAUCAUCAUACAAGGGGGCUCAGUUUCCACCAAAACACAGUUUUCUCCUGCCAGCGAGAGUGGCAGCAGAAGGAGCAGAAAUAAGCCAAGAACACUGUGUUCAGACUGCUGCAUUACACUCACUGCUACAGAUCAGCUCAAAAACAAAUUACAGCUUGUUGAUGGUUUAAUCUUUGCUGUUAGGGCUCAUUUCCUCACACAGUUCUCCUCCUGCCAGGGCUCUGCCGCUGUAAUGGACAUUUUGCCGCCCGUUUGUCAUUUGUCAUAUGUUGUCAUUUCUUGGAUGAAUCCAGUUCAUUUUGAUCCUGAUUUAAUGACCCAAAUGUUUUGAGGGAAUUUCCUGUCUCAUAUAUUUACGUAAACCAAAUUUUAAUUUCUAAUAUGGUGCAGUGUGUAAAAACUGGAAUAUUUUGUGAUAUGUAGCUGUCAGAUUCGGGGUUGAAAUGCUUUUUCCUCAUCUAACCCAAAAGCACAUUUGUUAUUUGCGAGUUUGGUGCUACUGAAGACUAGGGUUGGGCAUCAUUUGAAUUUGAACGAUUCCAGUUGUCUUGAAACUAGUUACUUUCCCAAGGAUCACAUAGGAGCAAAUAUUGUGAUUGGUUUAAGGGUAGGGCUGGGUGAUAAAACGAUGAUGAUGUAUAUCAAAAAAUAAAUUUCCAUCGAUAUGAAACAUGGUCAAUAUGCUUUUCGAUAGCCAGCAUCCUGCCAUGUUUUUGUAGACUAUACAAAUAGCCAAUGAAAAGGGGAGUUGCUCCAGGUCUGCUUUGCACUGAACCAAUCGUGCUGAAUUAGAACCAAGUAUCAAACAACUGCGUAGUAGCAGGUAGCAGCUACACGCAACCAUAGCACAGGUAUCUUGGUUUUAUUCGGUCGGACAUUAAGCAGCGUGGUGUGCACUGCAAAUUAUGUCGACUACAUGUUCUCACAAAGUCGGGAAUACCUCAAAUCUUUUCCCCACAUGACGCAGUGCCACGCGGCAAAGCACGCACAAUGCAAAAGUUUACAAACCUCAAGCAGAUUAAGGAGCCCAUGGCGCCUGUGCAGCCGAAACAUCUGACCAUUCAGUUCGCGUUCUCUAGCGCAAAGCCGUACGACAAAAUGUCAAAGAGACACAAAGACCUCACAGAUGCAGUAGCGUAUUGUACUGCAAAAGACAUGCUACCAAUAAAAACUAUUACAUUUCAUUUGAGAGCAACAGGGAACAUUUAAGAUUGGCAAUUGAUUUUUUACAUGGUCAUAUAUAUCAAUAUCGACUGAUAUGAAAAGAUAUAUAUUGAUAGACUUUCCCAUAUGGAGCCCUAAUCAAGGGAGUUUCUUGAGUCAUGAAAUCUACAAGAGGACAAACAAGUGUGUGUGUAACAACAGACAAUGGGGCCAAUGUUGUCAGACUUUUAUGUUUGCGGACAUAUUCAAAAAAUAAAAAACAUGGGGAAAAAUAUCAUUGGGGGGGCAUUGUUAACUUCUGUCCUGUGAAUGUAUGGCAAAUCUGAAUUUGAACACCAAUAAAAAAAACGCUGUUGUUUACAAGCAGCAAUCACUAAUAAUAUUUUGUCCUGUCAUUUUUUUCCACAUCGCAUAAAUAUUGUUAUCACAAAUUGCCUUGAAAUAUCGUGAUAUCAUUAUGAAGCUAUAUCACCCACCAGUAAUAUAAACUCUUAUGAACUUUACCAUGAAUUUCUAACAGGGCUAUUUUCAACCAGUAUAUAAAUAAAAACCUUUGUUGUCAGGUCGUUUGUCUGUGAAAAAGUACACAGGCCAACGUUAGUCGGACAUUCAAGUUGACCCAGAUUCUUGCCACCAAGCACUGUGGUGGAACAGGGUGACAGGAGAUCCACUUUUAGUCAGGAGCAUGCUUUAUUGCAGCAUGCACAGAGCAGGAAGUAAUGAUGGGGUGAGAAGUAUUUUUAUCACUGUCCCUGAGGGAAGCACAAGCUGUGUGUUUCAUCAGCAGUUAUCAUGCAAGCCAGGAAUGCCGAACUGCUGUUUCUUCACCGGGACUCUUGGGAGUCCUGCAGAGCACUGCGCAGGAUUUCAGCUCAACAUUGUCCACAUGGUCCCAGCGAGGCUCAGCAGAGGCUACAGAGGGCACAGUGAGGGAGAUAAAUCCAACUGUGUCAACAUAAGAGAAAAACUGAUAUGACCGCUGAUCGAGGACAUACAGGGGAUCCUUUUCGGUGACCUAGGCAGCUAAGAAACGUGAAUGACCAAGAUUCACAAACACAUUUAUGAAAAACUGAACACACAUCUGGGAGCAGACUGCCUUUGUUUUUAGCUGGUGAUUUUGCGCUGAAUAAGAUAUGAGUGUACAUGUACCUGUCUAUAAUGAUGAAUGAAAAAACCUAACUUGGUCUGAUUACAUGUCAACUUGAUUACAUGAGACCAAUAGGCUAUUAUAAUGGUAAGACGACACAUAGAGACAGUCAAAAUACCUAAUUAAUAACUAAUUUAUUCCUUUAUUUCUCUUCUUUAUUGACUAUCUGACUUUUAUUUCCUCUUAUGUUGUCUUCUGCAGCUAAACAAUGUCCGGUGGUUUGCGGAGUGUGGUGAAAACCUGCAGAUCUCACAUCACCAGCCUUUGGUCCUCUGUGCAGGUGUGCGACCACAUUCCUGUGCUUGUUAUACAUCGCUCCAGACAAGUGACCGUGUGCCAGUUUAACCACAGCCUACAUAAACUUUAUCUCCAUCUGGAUCAAAAUAUUAACAAAACAAGAUGCCAUCUAUCAUCUCUGUUCACAUCCAAGCAGAGCAUUUUGGCAUUUUGUCAGUAGCACCAGCUGGUGGUGAGUGUCUGCACUACAGCUGAGACAAAAUGUUGGACCUGCAGUCAUAAAACUAUCAAUAAUUCGUGGGGCUUUCAAAGGUUUUGGGUUAAUAAUGUCGCAUUAAUGCAAAUACAUUCCAUAAUCUUAAUUAUGCAGCAUAAAUGUCUCUGAUAUGAGCCUAGGUUUAAAGGCUAUAUUUAAUGUGAUGUAACUGUAGUACCAACUAGAAACACUAGACGGGGGUGAUUAUAAGACUACAUUGAUCCAAACCCCCUCUUCAGCCAGUGAACACCUGUGGAGUGGACAUCGAAGUGGUGACAUCAUGUAAAUACCUAGAUGUACAUCUGGAUAAUAAGUUGGACCGGUCUAAGAAUAUAGACUUCAUCUACAGAAAGGGGCAGAGCCGCCUCUUUUGUCUGAGAAGACUCCGAUCAAUAGACAUCUGUAGUAAGAUGCUGCAGAUGUUUUAUCAGUCUGCUGGGAGGGCAGUAUCAAACACAAAGAUGCAAGACGUCUGAACAAACUGGUGAAAAAGGCUGGCUCUGUGGUUGGACUCAAGCUGGACUCAGUGGAGGAUGUGGUGGAGAGAUCUACACUGAGGAAGGUGGAGUCUAUUCUAAAGAACAUGGAUCACCCACAACACCUUGAUGGACCAAAGGACCAAUGGUGGUGGACGGCUCCUCUCUCUUCGCUGCAGGACAGAAAGAUUCAGAAGAUCUUUUGUACCAACAGACAUCAGACUUUAUAAUUCCUCUGUAACUAGUAGAUGAUUUGAGACAUGACACAUGAGACGACAGACAGUUGAAUUUCCCUUCAGGGAUUAAUAAAGUUCUUCUUAUCUAAUUACACCUGCACAAA